UUAGGGUUCUCUACCUUCUCUCAUUCAGCGCCUCUUCUUCUCAGCCUUAUCUUCAACAUUCUUGCCAAACCUUCUUUCUGCAAAUUCAGAUCUAUUAUUUCGUGUGCCUCUGAGACUUCUAGCGUUGCCAGAUCCGGAUGGAUCUGAUCAAGAUCUACACACCCAUGGUGGUUUCGGCUUGGUUCGAUCAACUUUCUGUCGGGGUUUUGCUCCGGUUAGGUUCGGUAUUAUGUUAUUAGCGUCUUGAUUUUGUUAUGUUCAAUUUAUAUUAUCGGCGUUUCAUAGAUCUGAUGCAUGGAGACAUAGAUCUAUGCAUAGAGGUACGUGAGAUAAUCCAUGGGAAGAAAGCUGAUCCAACUAUAGAUCGAUCAUCUACUGACGCUCUUUGGAUCGUUAUGGAUGGAUGCUUGUAUGGAUGAUUUGGAUUAUUCAAGAAGCAGUGUUACUUCCUAGGGCUGCAUAUGUUGCUGGUCUCAGAUGUAAAAAUAUUGUAUGAUGUGAAGCUUUGAGGUGGAAAAUAUGUGGAUGUAGGAGAUUUCGGGAUGAACGACCUCAAAACGAUGAGUCGUUUGGGGUUGGGAGUCCUGAGUGAUCUUGUCAUCCGACCUUUGCCAUGUCAGGUGCGCUUGCUUGGCAGGUCAAAUAAUUGUUAAUAAAAAAAAGUUUUGUUGGUUUCGGGAGAGAUCGCACGGGAGUUGCCCGGGAUCUCUCCCUCGUGUGGUGUGUGCUCUGCUCUCUUUCAUUAUGCCUUUUAUUAUUACCUUUCUCUGUCGCUCCACUCCGUUAUAGAUCUCUGCACCAGAGGGAUUCAACAGAGGAUUCGCUCCAACAAUAAGGUAUUAUUUAUCAAUUUACAAUCAAAAGGUUAGAUAUUUCAAUUCGCAUAAUUAAAGAUAAAUCGACAACCGUAUACUUGUUUUUAAAAUAUAACAAACAUCGUUGAAGGUUCAAUAGUCAGCAGAUCGAAGAAUUUGUCAUCUUCCGUUAAUUUCAUUUAAUAUUUUAUUUAAAAGGUCGGUAAUGUGAAUAAUGUCAAUCUGAACUUUUUGGUAAUCUUAUAGGCAGAAGAUGCUAGGUGGAGUUCAUCAGUAGUUUCAUUCUUAAAGGUAAAACGGGGUCUGUGUUUAUAAAGGUAUUUUAAUUAUGAAUUACUUAUUUUAAGCCGUUAUCAGGCCAGUUUUCAUUAAACAACGAUACUGUUAACGUCAAUCCAUGCCUAUCAAAUAAUUACUUUCUUCAUUAUUACUUUCUUGUCGAACAAGUUUAUGUUCAUUACUACUAUUAGCGCAACAAUACUAUUAUCAUUUUGUUUAUGUUUAUUAUUGUUUCAUUUCACUUGUUCAAUCCGGUGACGUCUUCUUAUAAAGAUUGAUCACAUGUAGUAUUGCCGGCUUAGUACCAUAUACUUGUAAAUUUGAUGACAUGUAAUAAGUUCAGCUUCGGCAGUCAACGUUUGUAAUGCAGAAAUAGCUAAUUUUCAAAGCGUAUAAUUUUGAGGAUUGUAGCAUAGUUAUGCUUUGCCAAUGGGAUCUUCUUUCAACAUCGAAGUAUAAAUCUUCCAAUUAUUUGAAGACGCUAUAUGGCUUCUGCUGGGGAAAUAUCACUGGGAUAGAGGAGCUUUGUAUUGGAUAAUCUCGUGGAUUGCGGAAGAUUCUGAUUUAGGCUUCUAUGUUUAAGGUGAAGAUAAUUUCGGCUCUCUACUACAUACACGGAAAGUAUAUUUUUCUUUCAAGUUAAUUUAAGUUUGGAUUCAUUUUUGGAAUUGAGUUACGAUGUUGUUAUUAAAUUUCUUCGUCUUUUACCUUAUUUAUACUGUCAAUAUUCAGGUGUUCAUUGUUGGUUAUUGUU
Vigna radiata var. radiata (mung bean) is the source of this 1848-nucleotide long non-coding RNA. RefSeq lists it as uncharacterized. The transcript has 2 exons. NCBI's taxonomy places the organism in Eukaryota, Viridiplantae, Streptophyta, Magnoliopsida, Fabales, Fabaceae. The record is from RefSeq and is a predicted model, not a curated record.